UACGAAGGGGGCUAGCGUUGUUCGGAAUCACUGGGCGUAAAGCGCACGUAGGCGGAUUGUUAAGUCGGGGGUGAAAUCCUGAGGCUCAACCUCAGAACUGCCUCCGAUACUGGCAAUCUCGAGUUCGGAAGAGGUUGGUGGAACAGCUAGUGUAGAGGUGAAAUUCGUAGAUAUUAGCUAGAACACCAGUGGCGAAGGCGGCCAACUGGUCCGACACUGACGCUGAGGUGCGAAAGCGUGGGGAGCAAACAGG
RNAcentral lists this ribosomal RNA (253 nucleotides) under uncultured bacterium. RNAcentral's name for it is "partial 16S ribosomal RNA". It matches the Rfam family "Bacterial small subunit ribosomal RNA", at positions 524 to 776 of the family's 1533-position model. RNAcentral also lists the same sequence under 1 other name. The record is from RNAcentral.